This 348-nucleotide ribosomal RNA is filed under the name uncultured bacterium. RNAcentral describes it as "bacterial SSU rRNA". It matches the Rfam family "Bacterial small subunit ribosomal RNA", at positions 143 to 510 of the family's 1533-position model. The record is from RNAcentral.
AUAGCCACUGGAAACGGUGAUUAAUACUAGAUACACCUUCUUAUCACAAGGUAAGAAGGGAAAUGUCUUUUCGCUUUGGGAUCAGACUAUAUCCUAUCAGCUAGUUGGUGAGGUAAUGGCUCACCAAGGCAAUGACGGGUAGCGGUUCUGAGAGGAUGAUCCGCCACACUGGUACUGAGACACGGACCAGACUCCUACGGGAGGCAGCAGUGAGGAAUAUUGCACAAUGGGGGGAACCCUGAUGCAGCAACGCCGCGUGGAGGAUGACGCAUUUCGGUGUGUAAACUCCUUUUAUAUGUCAAGAAAAUGACGGUAGCAUAUGAAUAAGCACCGGCUAACUCCGUGCCA